GGAUUAGAUACCCUGGUAGUCCAUGCAGUAAACGAUGAGUGCUAGAUGUUGGGAGUUUAAACUUCCAGUAUCGCAGUUAACGCGUUAAGCACUCCGCCUGGGAAGUACGGCCGCAAGGCUAAAACUCAAAUGAAUUGACGGGGACCCGCACAAGCGGUGGAUCAUGUGGUUUAAUUCGAAGAUACGCGAAGAACCUUACCGGCUCUUGACAUACCAAUCGCGGACUUAAGAGAUUAAGUCUUUCACUUCGGGUGGAUUGGAUACAGGUGCUGCAUGGCUGUCGUCAGCUCGUGCCG
Molecule: ribosomal RNA, 296 nt
Filed under: uncultured bacterium
Lineage: Bacteria
Description: partial 16S ribosomal RNA
Rfam family: Bacterial small subunit ribosomal RNA
Source: RNAcentral